CUUGAACCUUUUCUUCCCAUUUGAUAACAUAACUAUCAAAAGAUUCAUGUCAAACACCUUUUGUAUGAACUUUUUGUGGAUCUUCACAUUGCCGCCUUCUUAUAAAUUAUUGGUCUCCCAUUCAAGUUCAUAAGGUGAGAAUUUUUUCGUAUCUUCAAUCAAUUGGGUUACUAGAUUGAGCUAAGAAAAAGGUAAACAUUUUCAAAAAAUAAAUCUAUUUCAAUUAAUUGACUCAAAUAUUCUAGUUUGUAGCUGCUAAUUGAGUUUCUAGGUUAGGAAAAUUUGCAAAUAGAUUAGGGUUUUUAGAUCAAUUAAUCGAUACAUUGUUUUUAGUUAAUUCAAUUUUAUUAGUUAGAAUGUAUAUUUAUUUGUUCAAUUAAAGGAAUAAAUUUAUUUUAUAAGAGAUCAUUACAAAUUUAUUAUUAAAUUAGGAUAUUUAACCAAUUUUGUGAAAAUAGUAGGUAUUGAUUUCUUUGUUGAUUAAAUAAAUUAAUUGAAUUAGAUCCAAUUUACUAAUUUUUUUAAAUCUAAAAAAAUAUUAUUUUGGAAGAUUAAUCAUUAUAUCUAUAAUUUAAUUUAUAUAUAUAUAUAUAUAUAUAUAUAUAUAUAUAUAUAAUUGGGUAUUAUGAAGUUCUCAAACCUAAUUUCAUGUUUUUAAGUUUUGAUCUUUGAUCCUAGAAGUUACAUCUCAAUUUAAUUUUAUUUAGAUUAUAUUUUUUUUUUGUUAAAUUUUAAUUAUUAGUUGUUUAGAAUGAUUAAUUUAGAGUUUAGUGUUUAUUUGGUUUAUUUUGAAUGUCCAUGAAUUUGUAUGAAUGGAGGCUAGAAAUAUUGAUGAAAUUGAAUUCAUUUUUAUUAAUCAAGUGGAAUAAUUGGCUUGUGAUUGAUUAAGAGUGUGGCCCAUUUGAUUAAGGGUUUUCGCUUGGCACUGGAUUAAACUAUUUUGAGCAUUGUCAAGACUCAAGGAUCUUACUUAUUUGUAAUAGUUCAUAAGAAUGUUUAACGUUUGAUUGAGCUUGUAAACUUUUUUUGUUAGAUCAUUCAAGUACAAGAAUGUUGUUUGAAUAAUUGAACCAAGUUCUCUUUAUUUUUGUUAUUUUCUUCCAUAAAUAAGAAUAAUCAUGCUAGCUUUAAUAAGUAGAAAAAAAAUUACCUUAUUCAAUUUUUUUUUAUUUUUUUUAAUAAAGGGUAAUGCAUGCAUUUUAUAAGAAGUGAGAAUGAUUUUGUUGGAAUUUGCCAUUACAGCCUCCAUUACUAUAAAUGCUUGUUUUAAGAGAGCUAUCUUACUUUAAUACCAUUUUUGUGAAGUUUGAGAAACUAGAGAGAGAAUUGAGAGUUAAUUCAUGAACUUCCUUGGUGAAGAUAGAAAAUUUUGUGGAAUUUCUCAUCUCAUAAUUAUGUUGUUAGCCUGAUCUAAUUAAGAAGUAAAUUUUCAAAUACAAUCAAUGAAUAAAGACAUGUACUUUUAGUUUGUGGUAAUUAACUAAACUUCUAGGAUUUUUUUUUUAAACUAAAUUUGGGUCUUCUAGCUAUAGAUGGAUAUAUCAAUAGGCUUCUUGAAUUUUAUGAAUUAAAAUUUAAUUCAAAUGAAUAAAAUUGUGUAUUAUUUCAUUUAGGAAAUGAUUAGGAAAUAAUUAAAUUGAUGUUAUGAAAUGUAAACGCUUGUUUUGUUAAAUUGCACGAAUUUGAUUGAUUUGUGAAGAAUACAUAUUAUUAUGCAAUUUGAAGAUAUAAACCCUAAUUCCGAGUUUUGAAUUAAUCUCACUUUCAUAUUUAUUGUUAAUUUAAAAAUGUAAAUGGUUUAAUUAAGGCUUCAAUCCCAUCAAUAUAUAUAUGUUCAUGAAUUAUGGAGGGUCUUUACGAAAAUGUUUAAUUGAGUAAAACUAGGGACUAAUUAUGUAAGCCUAAUCACAUUCUUUGUUGUAUUUAUCUUCUUAACUUAUCAUAUAUUGUUCUUAUAUUGAUUACGAAAAAUUGUUUAUUUUCUUUCUUAUUGCUUUGUGGAUUCAAUUUCUUUUCUAUUAAUUACAAUAUUCAUUUCUUUUAAUUGUUGAUGGAAGGUUUCCAUUGAUUGUUACUUGUCUUCAAAUUGAUAAAUGAUAGUUUUUUCUUUAUUUUUUUCAUUCGCUCAUGUACAGAGUAUAUAUAGAGGGUAAUCACCAUUCUAAGAAUGGGAAAGAAUGAUGCAAGGAAAUAACAACUAAUAUCCUAAUAUCUCAACUUUCCUAAUAUCUCAAUAUUCCUAAUAUCUCAAUAUUCAUAAUAUCUCAAUUUUCCUAAUAUCUAAACAUUCCUAAUAUCUCAACACUAAAUGAUAUAAGGAAAGAAUGAUAUAAGGAAAACAUUCCUAAUAUCUCAACACUCCCCCUCAAGUUGGUGCAUAGAUGUCACACAUGCCCAACUUGUCUAAAAAUUUUGAGAACACUUGACUUGAGACAAAUUUGGUGAGGAUAUCAGCCAAUUGAUUUUCUGAUCGAAUCUUAGGCAAUUCCACAAUCUUAUCAUCCAACUUUUCCUUAAUGAAGAAUCUAUCCACCUCGACAUGCUUUGUACGAUCAUGUUGUACUGGAUUAUGAGCAAUGUCACAUGCGGCUUUAUUGUCACAAAACAAUCGGAUUGGUUGCCUAAAUAGGUAACCUAAAUCCUGUAAGAGGAGUCUUAGCCAUAAUGCCUCACAAAGUCCUAGAGUCAUACCUCUAAAUUCCGUUUCUGCACUUGAACGGGCGACGACAUUUUGCUUCUUACUUUUCCAUGUCACAAGAUUACCACCUACAAAAGUAAAGUAACCAGAUGUAGAUCGCCUAUCAUCCACUGCACCGGCCCAAUCAGCAUCAGUAUAUACUUCUAUACUCUGAUGAUCAACAUUUUUAGCGAACAAAAUUCCCUUCCUAGGAGCAUUCUUCAAAUACCUCAAAAUACGCAUGACUGCAUUCAUAUGUUGCUCUCCAGGAUUAUGCAUGUAUUGACUCACUACACUCAAUGCAUAAGCAAGAUCUGGUCUUGUAUGAGCUAAGUACAUUAAUCUCCCCACAAGUCUCUGGUAUCUUUCCUUAUCGGUUGAUACUUGAUUAGGCUCAACACACAAUUUCAGGCCUUCUUCUAUUGGUGUAUUGACAGGUUGACAUCCCGACAUUCCAGUUUCUUGUAAAAGAUCUAAGACAUACUUUCUUUGAGAUAGAAAAAUUCCUUCACUUGAUCGAGAAACUUCAAUCCCAAGAAAGUAUUUCAGAUGACCUAGAUCUUUCAUUUUGAAUUCUCUAGAUAGAUAAUUUUGCAGAGUUUUUCUUUCUUCAGGAUCAUUUCCUGUAACUACCAUGUCAUCCACAUAUACGAUGAGUGUCGUAAUCUUACCAUGUUGCUUUUUCAGGAACAAAGUGUGAUCUGAAUUACUUUGACGAUAGCCAAAAGCUCUCAUUGACUUUGUGAACCUUCCAAACCAUGUUCUCGGGGAUUACUUCAACUCAUACAAUGACUUCUUCAAUUUGCACACCUUCUGACAUUGUUUUUCUAACACCAUGCAUCUUAGUGGAAGAUCCAUGUAUACUUCUUCAGAUAACUCGCCAUGCAGAAAGACAUUUUUCACAUCGAACUGUUGUAAUGGCCAAUCUAGGUUUGCAGCUAAAGAUAGUAAUACUCGAACUGUGUUGAUCUUAGCUACAGGUGCAGAUGUCUCUGUGUAGUCAAUUCCAUAAGUUUGAGUGUACCCUUUUGCUACUAGUCUUGCUUUAAAUCGUUCAAUACUACCAUCUACCUUGUACUUCAUAGUAUAGAUCCAACGACACCCAACUGGCUUCUUUCCUGGUGGACAUUCUAAGAGUUCCUAUGUUUCAUUCUUCUGCAAUGAUUUCAUCUCUUCAUUCAUGGCUGCUUUCCACCUUGGAUCAGUUAAGGCUUCCUGCACACUGUUAGGAAUAGCUACAAUAGAUAAUUGAUUUACAAAUGACUUAUUUGAUUCAGAAAAACAAUGGUUAGACACAUAGUUGCUCAUGAGAUAUUUGACUUUGGUAGACAAUUCAGGUUCAUAUGUGGGUUUAGGAAUACCUCUAUUAUGACGGUGUGGUAACUAUUUCAUGAAUGGAUCAGGUUCCAAAUUAAGAACACCCUUAGCAGACGACGAUUGGUUUGGUAUUUCAGUGAAGACAUCUUCGGACCCAAAUUGUUGACCACUCAUAUCCAACUCACCCGCUUCCUGAUUCACUAGUUCAGAUUUUCCAGAUUCAUCCUCCUCAUAGAUAUGAUAAUCAUAAUCGAGAGUCNNNNNNNNNNNNNNNNNNNNNNNNNNNNNNNNNNNNNNNNNNNNNNNNNNNNNNNNNNNNNNNNNNNNNNNNNNNNNNNNNNNNNNNNNNNNNNNNNNNNUUUCCUUAUGGUACUCCCCCUGAAGUUCAGACUCAGAUGAAAAAUACAUUGAAUCUUCAUGAAACACCACAUCCAUUGUAAUAAACAUUCGUCGAGUUGGAGGAUGGUAACAUCGAUAUCCCUUUUUGUGCAAUGCAUAUCCAACAAACACACAUUGCAAUGCAUGAGAAGUUAACUUGGUGCGUUGGUGUUUGUGUAGAUGCACAAAUGCCAUGCAACCAAAAACACGAGGAGGUAGAUUUGGGACGGUUGGGGCAACUAUGACAUUAGUAAGAGCUUGGAGAGGUGUUUGGAAGUUAAUUGGGCUAGAAGGUACCCGAUUGAUCAAGUAUGUGGUAGAUGUGAUUGCUUCUCCCCAAUAAGAUAUCGGUAUUUUUGCUACUAUCAAGGAAGCACGAACAACCUCUAACAAGUGCCGAUUUUUCCGUUCAGCGACUCCAUUUUGCUGGGGUGUAUUGGAACAAGUAGUUUGAUGAAUGAUGUCAUGUUCUUCCAAAUACUUUUGAAGAUCAGAACUCUGAUAUUCUCCACCAUUAUCACUAUGCAAAACCCGAACCUUUGCAUUGUACUGAGUUUCAAUCAUUUUAUGAAAAUUUUGAAACAACAAGUUCACUUCAUCUUUGGUCUUCAUCAAGCAUAAUCAUGUCAUUCUGGUACAAUCAUCAAUAAAAGUAACAAACCAACGUGAGCCACUCAAAGUUGGGACUUUGGAUGGGCCCCAAACAUCAGAAUGUAUAACCAUAAAAGGAAACGGACUUUUAUUCAAAAUUAACGGAAAUGAAGCACGAUGACUUUUAGCCAAUUCACAAAUAUCACAACGGAAACCAGAAAUAUCACUCUUUGCAAACAAACUAGGAAACAAUUUUUUUAAAUAACCAAAGGAAGCAUGUCCCAGACGUCGAUGCCACAACCAAAUUUUAGACUUUUUCUCCUCCUCCUCAGAUCCAUCUGUCAUCAAGGCUUGUUGCAACUUAUUUGAAUCCUUUGACUGCAAGUCCAAGUAAUAGAGUUUCCCCCGCUUAAUACCACAACCAAUCGUCUGUCUUGUUUGGAUGUCCUUAAUCACACAAAAUUCAGGCCAAAAAUGACAAUACAAGAUAAGGCUGCAGUAAUUUGAGAAACUGACAAAAGAUUGUAAUCUAGAGAUGGAACAACUAAAACAGAAUCCAAAUUCAAAGUAUUAGUAAGAGUUAAGGAUCCUUCCCCAAUGACUGGGGUUGUGUUACCAUUGGCUGUGGAAACAAUUUUUUGUGAGGAAGGUCUAAGGGGUGAAACCUGUCUAGAAUCAAAAGUCAUAUGAUCUGUAGCACCAGAAUCAAUUAUCCAUGCACUAUUAAUAACAGGUGUAAAAGUAUUUAAAAACUUACCACCAUGAUCUGUAGCGGCUACCAAUGUAGAGGCUUUCUCAGCAACAUUAGCCUUUGUUUUUAUUUCGGCAACAGUUGUAGUCAAGGUUUUCUUGGAAUCCUUCUUCCGUUGAUCACGAUUAUUAUCAUUAAUAACAAAGUGGUGAUAGCCUAAUCAUGAUCUAAAGGUCCAUGGUUCAAACCCUCGGUUCCUCGUUGUUUUCUUGGUCAUACCAAGAGUCGUUGCUUUGAAAUUGUGGGAUAUCCAGACUGGUGGGAUCAGUCUUAUUGCAGUCAGUGCAUUUGAAGGUUGACUUAUCAAUAUUAGGGCUUGUCUUAGGAUGGUUGAUCGCUGUCGGACUACCAUAGCGACAAAAUAUCCAUGAUUUCAAUUUCAUGGCUUUGAUACCAUCUUCAAAUUGAUAAAUAAUAGUUUUUUCAUUAAUUUUUUCAUUCGCUCAUGUACAGAGUAUAUAUAGAGGGUAAUCACCAUUCUAAGAAUGGGAAAGAAUGAUACAAGGAAAGAAUGAUAUAAGGAAAUAACAACUAAUAUCCUAAUAUCUCAACUUUCCUAAUAUCUCAAUAUUCCUAAUAUCUCAAUAUUCAUAAUAUCUCAAUUUUCCUAAUAUCUAAACAUUCCUAAUAUCUCAACACUAAAUGAUAUAAGGAAAACAUUCUUAAUAUCUCAACAACUUGUUUAACAGUUCUAUAUAGGAAUUUUUUUCUUGAGUCUAUAGGAAAUUUUUUUAUAAUAGUAUUCAUGUCAAUGUGUAAGCUCUAUUACUGUUCAGAUUCUUCUCAUCUAAUCAAGUAUAAUUGAUCUUCAUAGCUAAUAUCAAAUGAUUUUUCUUGGAUUGUAAGGGUCUCGAAAAGAUCCACGCUGGUGAAGAAUGUAUACUUGAAAUUUACACACCGCAAUGGAGAAAAUAAACACUCACGAUUGAAUCAAUGAUUUAGCAAAACAUACUACUCUAUGACAUGGGGAUAUUCAUACAUGACUAUUCAAUGAGUUUUGGAGACAAUAAUAUAAUCCAAGACAAAGAAAAUAUACAAAAAAAUCAAGUGCAUGGUUUAUUAAUUCAAAUGUUGUUGCAUAAGUAGAAAUCUGACAGAUUUAAUGAAAUCUUGGUUCAUGCUUUCAUGCAGAAGUGACAGAUCCACUCUCCUUUGAUAUCUCGCCCAGCCAAGAUAUUACCUUCCGUGGCCAAUGCUCUAGUCUCUUGAAGCAUGUAGGAAGAAAAACCUUAUAUGCCUUCCCAAUGUCAUCAUAUAUGACAUUAAUUAGGAUAGGGAUCUCCUGCAAUACUUCAAUCUUGUCUAUGGCAGGUUGGGGAGAAGGUAGUUUCUGGGAGGAAGAGGAAUCAAACAUAUGUUUGGGUCUGCAUCACUUUCCUGAAGUACUUUCCUUACUCGCCAUGGAACAUGUGGUUGAUCGUCAUAUCCUCCAUUUCAAGUGCAAGUAUAUUUAGAUCAAUUUUGCUUUAUCACCAGCAUUUUCCAUAAUAUUUUUUUUAAUUGUUAUUUGGAAUUAAUUGUUAGCUGUUGUAUGAAUGUAGAGGUUAUUAAAUUUUCCUUAAAUUUUGAUCACAGUGGAUGCUGGGAGGGUUCUGGAGCAGUGAUUCAAACAGUGGAUUAGUCCCUAGUUAUAGCAUGGUGAGAGAUAGCAGAAAUGAAGAAUUUGAAACUUGGACAUGGAGGAUCGGGUUUGGAUACCAAAGAAAAUACCAAUUUCCAACUAUCAAGUUCUCGGUUAAAUGAAGAAAGUGGAUGUGGAGAAACCCGGAUAUCAAGAUCUUGAGCCACUUAACCUUUUUGGUUGAACCAUCAUUAUAUUAGACCAUAGGACUUUCUUCUUCUUUCUUUCUUUUAUUUUUUUUUCAAUGAAUUGAUUAGCUUCCCUACUGUAUAUGCGCUCUUUAUUGGAUAUUUGAAUUAGCUCUUUGUUGUGCAACUAACUUCAAUCUAGAAAUAUACUCAUUCCUCAUGCCAUUUGAAGAAAUAAUCUUACAUGACUUCCUCAAACAAAGGAAAGUUCCAUGGAAGGUAAUUUAUCAAUCAGAUCUAUC
RNAcentral lists this long non-coding RNA (7765 nucleotides) under Vitis vinifera (wine grape). RNAcentral describes it as "long non-coding RNA (VVIN_LNC007077)". The record is from RNAcentral. Lineage: Eukaryota; Viridiplantae; Streptophyta; Magnoliopsida; Vitales; Vitaceae.